Molecule: ribosomal RNA, 253 nt
Filed under: uncultured bacterium
Lineage: Bacteria
Description: partial 16S ribosomal RNA
Rfam family: Bacterial small subunit ribosomal RNA
Source: RNAcentral
UACGGGGGGUGCAAGCGUUGUUCGGAAUUAUUGGGCGUAAAGCGCGUGUAGGCGGUUUGUUAAGUCUGUUGUGAAAGCCCUGGGCUCAACCCAGGAAGCGCACUGGAUACUGGCAGACUUGAAUACGGGAGAGGGUAGUGGAAUUCCUGGUGUAGGAGUGAAAUCCGUAGAUAUCGGGAAGAACACCAGUGGCGAAGGCGGCUAACUGGUCCAGCACUGACGCUGAGGUGCGAAAGCGUGGGGAGCAAACAGG